CGAGGGGCUUGGACAUAACGUGCAGUCGAAGAUGAUGCCGAGGCUUGCUGGUGGAUUAGUGGCGAACGGGUGAGUAACACGUGAGUAACCUGCCCUUAACUCUGGGAUAAGCCUGGGAAACUGGGUCUAAUACCGGAUAUGACUCCUCAUCGCAUGGUGGGGGGUGGAAAGCUUUUUGUGGUUUUGGAUGGACUCGCGGCCUAUCAGCUUGUUGGUGAGGUAAUGGCUUACCAAGGCGACGACGGGUAGCCGGCCUGAGAGGGUGACCGGCCACACUGGGACUGAGACACGGCCCAGACUCCUACGGGAGGCAGCAGUGGGGAAUAUUGCACAAUGGGCGCAAGCCUGAUGCAGCGACGCCGCGUGAGGGAUGACGGCCUUCGGGUUGUAAACCUCUUUCAGUAGGGAAGAAGCGUAAGUGACGGUACCUGCAGAAGAAGCGCCGGCUAACUACGUGCCAGCAGCCGCGGUAAUACGUAGGGCGCAAGCGUUAUCCGGAAUUAUUGGGCGUAAAGAGCUCGUAGGCGGUUUGUCGCGUCUGCCGUGAAAGUCCGGGGCUCAACUCCGGAUCUGCGGUGGGUACGGGCAGACUAGAGUGAUGUAGGGGAGACUGGAAUUCCUGGUGUAGCGGUGAAAUGCGCAGAUAUCAGGAGGAACACCGAUGGCGAAGGCAGGUCUCUGGGCAUUAACUGACGCUGAGGAGCGAAAGCAUGGGGAGCGAACAGGAUUAGAUACCCUGGUAGUCCAUGCCGUAAACGUUGGGCACUAGGUGUGGGGGACAUUCCACGUUUUCCGCGCCGUAGCUAACGCAUUAAGUGCCCCGCCUGGGGAGUACGGCCGCAAGGCUAAAACUCAAAGGAAUUGACGGGGGCCCGCACAAGCGGCGGAGCAUGCGGAUUAAUUCGAUGCAACGCGAAGAACCUUACCAAGGCUUGACAUGAACCGGUAAUACCUGGAGACAGGUGCCCCGCUUGCGGCCGGUUUACAGUGGUGCAUGGUUGUCGUCAGCUCGUGUCGUGAGAUGUUGGGUUAAGUCCCGCAACGAGCGCAUCCUCGUUCUAUGUUGCAGCACGUGAUGGUGGGGACUCAUAGGAGACUGCUGGUCACCUCGAAGAAGUGGGGACGACGUCAAUCAUCAUGCCCUUAUCGUCUGGCUCACGCAUGCUACAAUGCUGGUACAAGUUGCGAUACUGUGGAGGUGACUAUCCAAGCGGUUCAGUUCGAAUGGUAGCACUUGAACCCUAUUGA
Molecule: ribosomal RNA, 1248 nt
Filed under: bacterium
Lineage: Bacteria
Description: bacterial SSU rRNA
Rfam family: Bacterial small subunit ribosomal RNA
Source: RNAcentral